CCAGGGUGGAUUUCGAUCGUAUGAGCUCUCACAUCGCCGAUAUUAUCAGUUUCCGCCACGAAUCGGAAGCAAUCUGGAUUUUCCUCGACCGAUACAUCAGCAUCCGAUCGGAAAGGAAGCUCCAAGACCCGGCUGAAGAUGUGGGGCAGCCUCCUUAGCUUCUUGUGGGACCCACCGGAAGAUGGGUCCCUCUGAUGGCUGAUGUUAUUGCCGUUGGUAUUGUUGAUGUAGUAUUGGAUUGUUAUGUUGUUUCUCUUCUUGGGCAUUGGAUGCACCUUCAUGGUUUCUUGGUUUUGAUCGCAGCGUUGGUAGUUUGUGAGAGAACAAGAAAUGGAGCGAG
RNAcentral lists this unclassified non-coding RNA (340 nucleotides) under Hevea brasiliensis (rubber tree). Lineage: Eukaryota; Viridiplantae; Streptophyta; Magnoliopsida; Malpighiales; Euphorbiaceae. The record is from RNAcentral.